UACGUAGGGGGCUAGCGUUGUCCGGAAUCAUUGGGCGUAAAGCGCGUGUAGGCGGCCCGGUAAGUCCGCUGUGAAAGUCGGGGGCUCAACCCUCGAAUGCCGGUGGAUACUGUCGGGCUUGAGUACGGAAGAGGCGAGUGGAAUUCCUGGUGUAGCGGUGAAAUGCGCAGAUAUCAGGAGGAACACCAAUUACGAAGGCAGCUCGCUGGGACGUUACUGACGCUGAGACGCGAAAGCGUGGGGAGCAAACAGG
Molecule: ribosomal RNA, 253 nt
Filed under: uncultured bacterium
Lineage: Bacteria
Description: partial 16S ribosomal RNA
Rfam family: Bacterial small subunit ribosomal RNA
Source: RNAcentral